RNAcentral lists this ribosomal RNA (253 nucleotides) under uncultured bacterium. Its description in RNAcentral is "partial 16S ribosomal RNA". It matches the Rfam family "Bacterial small subunit ribosomal RNA", at positions 524 to 776 of the family's 1533-position model. The record is from RNAcentral.
UACGGGGGGGGCAAGCGUUGUUCGGAAUUACUGGGCGUAAAGGGCGUGUAGGCGGCUUGCUAAGUCAGACGUGAAAUCCCUCAGCUUAACUGGGGAACUGCGUCUGAGACUGGCGAGCUUGAGGGCAGGAGAGGAACGCGGAAUUCCAGGUGUAGCGGUGAAAUGCGUAGAUAUCUGGAGGAACACCGGUGGCGAAGGCGGCGUUCUGGACUGCAUCUGACGCUGAAAGACGAAAGCCAGGGGAGCAAACGGG